RNAcentral lists this long non-coding RNA (653 nucleotides) under Equus asinus (donkey). RNAcentral's name for it is "lncRNA (ENSEASG00005035211.1)". The record is from RNAcentral. Lineage: Eukaryota; Metazoa; Chordata; Mammalia; Perissodactyla; Equidae.
CUGCCACCUGCUCUGUAUUAAUGCAUAAUUCCUUAUGUCAUUUCUGGAACUCUUCCAACAGUUAUGGGUCACAAUGACAAUAUGCCACUCCAUUGGCUGAGCACUUGUUUGCAACAAUGAGCUACACAUGUUGGCCAAUACUGCCACAAUUUAACGCUUCUGUUCCUCUUGUCACAUCUGAAUGGGUGGCAUCUGGUCCAAAUUUUGGGUCCCUUUGAGGAUGCGUGAUAGGUAACUCUCAUCUGGAUAGCAGAGACACUUGACCAGCCAAUUACGUAUUCUGGAAUCCAGGAAGUUUAUGUAGGGAGCUUAAACGGAAGAUGCGUCUGAGAAACUCCCAUCAAGAGCACAUCCCAGCUUUUCAACGAUUGUAUAAGCCAGCGUUUGUUAAGUGCUUCCUCUGUCCCAGGCACUCUUUCAAGUGUUUUACGUGUAGUAACUCUUUUCAUAUAUGACCAUCUUAUGAAGCGUCACACAGCAUGCUUUACAUGAGUACAAUGCCUCGAUCAAAGUCAACGUCUGCUAAACAUGAAUGGGAUGCCAGAAAUCUCCAACUCCAGAGUGGAUGGUUUCUUCAUUAUACUCUGCAAAAAGCGUAAAAAGUCUUCUUACUUAAAAAUAUUUGAGGAAAUAAAAUGUUAACAGAAUAUUUG